RNAcentral lists this ribosomal RNA (441 nucleotides) under uncultured bacterium. RNAcentral describes it as "bacterial SSU rRNA". It matches the Rfam family "Bacterial small subunit ribosomal RNA", at positions 338 to 795 of the family's 1533-position model. The record is from RNAcentral.
CCUACGGGAUGCACCAGUGAGGAAUAUUGGGCAAUGGGCGCAAGCCUGACCCAGCAAUGCCGCGUGAAGGAUGACGCCCCUCGGGGUGUAAACUUCUUUUAGGGGGGAGGAGCAAGGACCGUACCCCCUGAAUCAGUCACGGCUAACUACGUGCCAGCAGCCGCGGUAAUACGUAGGUGGCGAACGUUAUCCGGAAUUACUGGGCGUAAAGGGUCCGCAGGCGGAUCACCAAGUCCGGCGUGAAAGCUCCCGGCUCAACUGGGAGAGGGCGUUGGAAACUGGCGAUCUGGAAUCACACAGAGGUCGGUGGAAUUCCCGGUGUAGUGGUGGAAUGCGUAGAGAUCGGGAGGAACCUCGAAAGCGAAGGCAACCGGCUGGGUGAGGAUUGACGCUGAGGGACGAAAGCGUGGGGAGCGAACAGGAUUAGAUACCCGGGUAGUC